UACGUAGGGUGCGAGCGUUCCUCGGAAUUACUGGGCGUAAAGCGUGCGCAGGCGGUUUGUCGCGUCUGCUGUGAAAACCUAAGGCUCAACCUUGGGCUUGCAGUGGGUACGGGCAGACUAGAGUGCGGUAGGGGUGACUGGAAUUCCCGGUGUAGCGGUGAAAUGCGCAGAUAUCGGGAGGAACACCGGUGGCGAAGGCGGUUCUCUGGGCCUGACCUGACGCUGAGGAGCGAAAGCGUGGGGAGCGAACAGG
RNAcentral lists this ribosomal RNA (253 nucleotides) under uncultured bacterium. RNAcentral's name for it is "partial 16S ribosomal RNA". It matches the Rfam family "Bacterial small subunit ribosomal RNA", at positions 524 to 776 of the family's 1533-position model. The record is from RNAcentral.